GAUGAACGCUGGCGGCGUGCUUAACACAUGCAAGUCGAACGAAGCACUUUAUUUGAUUUCCUUCGGGACUGAUUAUUUUGUGACUGAGUGGCGGACGGGUGAGUAACUCGUGGGUAACCUGCCUUGUACAGGGGGAUAACAGUUGGAAACGGCUGCUAAUACCGCAUAAGCGCACAGCAUCGCAUGAUGCAGUGUGAAAAACUCCGGUGGUAUAAGAUGGACCCGCGUUGGAUUAGCUAGUUGGUGAGGUAACGGCCCACCAAGGCGACGAUCCAUAGCCGACCGGAGAGGGGGACCGGCCACAUUGGGACUGAGACACGGCCCAAACUCCUACGGGAGGCAGCAGUGGGGAAUAUUGCACAAUGGGCGAAAGCCUGAUGCAGCGACGCCGCGUGAGCGAAGAAGUAUUUCGGUAUGUAAAGCUCUAUCAGCAGGGAAGAUAAUGACGGUACCUGACUAAGAAGCACCGGCUAAAUACGUG
Molecule: ribosomal RNA, 481 nt
Filed under: uncultured bacterium
Lineage: Bacteria
Description: partial 16S ribosomal RNA
Rfam family: Bacterial small subunit ribosomal RNA
Source: RNAcentral